GGUUAAGCGACUAAGCGUACACGGUGGAUGCCCUGGCAGUCAGAGGCGAUGAAGGACGUGCUAAUCUGCGAUAAGCGCCGGUAAGGUGAUAUGAACCGUUAUAACCGGCGAUUUCCGAAUGGGGAAACCCAGUGUGAUUCGUCACACUAUCAUUAACUGAAUCCAUAGGUUAAUGAGGCGAACCGGGGGAACUGAAACAUCUAAGUACCCCGAGGAAAAGAAAUCAACCGAGAUUCCCCCAGUAGCGGCGAGCGAACGGGGAGGAGCCCAGAGCCUGAAUCAGCAUGUGUGUUAGUGGAAGCGUCUGGAAAGGCGCGCGAUACAGGGUGACAGCCCCGUACACAAAAGCGCAUGUGCUGUGAGCUCGAUGAGUAGGGCGGGACACGUGGUAUCCUGUCUGAAUAUGGGGGGACCAUCCUCCAAGGCUAAAUACUCCUGACUGACCGAUAGUGAACCAGUACCGUGAGGGAAAGGCGAAAAGAACCCCGGCGAGGGGAGUGAAAAAGAACCUGAAACCGUGUACGUACAAGCAGUGGGAGCCCCACCACUAAGCCAGUGGUGAACUCCACAUACGCAUCCUUUGCUGAGGAUACAGUUAACGGAGCGAAAGCGACGUUCAACCGCAAAAGAAGCAGAGGGGGCUUAGUGGUGG
This 652-nucleotide ribosomal RNA is filed under the name Salmonella enterica. Its description in RNAcentral is "partial 23S ribosomal RNA". It matches the Rfam family "Bacterial large subunit ribosomal RNA", at positions 1 to 677 of the family's 2925-position model. The record is from RNAcentral. Lineage: Bacteria; Pseudomonadati; Pseudomonadota; Gammaproteobacteria; Enterobacterales; Enterobacteriaceae.